CGUAGGGUGCGAGCGUUAAUCGGAAUUACUGGGCGUAAAGCGUGCGCAGGCGGUUUGUUAAGUCAGUGGUGAAAUCUCCGGGCUCAACCCGGAGACUGCCAUUGAUACUAAUAGUCUUGAAUUCUGUUGAGGUGGGCGGAAUAUGUCAUGUAGCGGUGAAAUGCUUAGAUAUGACAUAGAACACCGAUUGCGAAGGCAGCUCACUAAGCAGAUAUUGACGCUGAGGCACGAAAGCGUGGGGAUCAAACAGGAUUAGAUACCCUGGUAGUCCACGCCCUAAACGAUGAUUACUCGACAUACGCGAUACACAGUGUGUGUCUGAGCGAAAGCAUUAAGUAAUCCACCUGGGAAGUACGUCCGCAAGGAUG
This 368-nucleotide ribosomal RNA is filed under the name uncultured organism. RNAcentral describes it as "bacterial SSU rRNA". It matches the Rfam family "Bacterial small subunit ribosomal RNA", at positions 526 to 896 of the family's 1533-position model. The record is from RNAcentral.